This 1997-nucleotide ribosomal RNA is filed under the name Fusarium oxysporum f. sp. niveum. RNAcentral describes it as "eukaryotic LSU rRNA". The stretch from base 309 to 1997 matches the Rfam family "Eukaryotic large subunit ribosomal RNA", at positions 1 to 1733 of the family's 3401-position model. The record is from RNAcentral. Lineage: Eukaryota; Fungi; Ascomycota; Sordariomycetes; Hypocreales; Nectriaceae.
ACUUUCAACAACGGAUCUCUUGGUUCUGGCAUCGAUGAAGAACGCAGCAAAAUGCGAUAAGUAAUGUGAAUUGCAGAAUUCAGUGAAUCAUCGAAUCUUUGAACGCACAUUGCGCCCGCCAGUAUUCUGGCGGGCAUGCCUGUUCGAGCGUCAUUUCAACCCUCAAGCACAGCUUGGUGUUGGGACUCGCGUUAAUUCGCGUUCCUCAAAUUGAUUGGCGGUCACGUCGAGCUUCCAUAGCGUAGUAGUAAAACCCUCGUUACUGGUAAUCGUCGCGGCCACGCCGUUAAACCCCAACUUCUGAAUGUUGACCUCGGAUCAGGUAGGAAUACCCGCUGAACUUAAGCAUAUCAAUAAGCGGAGGAAAAGAAACCAACAGGGAUUGCCCUAGUAACGGCGAGUGAAGCGGCAACAGCUCAAAUUUGAAAUCUGGCUCUCGGGCCCGAGUUGUAAUUUGUAGAGGAUACUUUUGAUGCGGUGCCUUCCGAGUUCCCUGGAACGGGACGCCAUAGAGGGUGAGAGCCCCGUCUGGUUGGAUGCCAAAUCUCUGUAAAGUUCCUUCAACGAGUCGAGUAGUUUGGGAAUGCUGCUCUAAAUGGGAGGUAUAUGUCUUCUAAAGCUAAAUACCGGCCAGAGACCGAUAGCGCACAAGUAGAGUGAUCGAAAGAUGAAAAGCACUUUGAAAAGAGAGUUAAAAAGUACGUGAAAUUGUUGAAAGGGAAGCGUUUAUGACCAGACUUGGGCUUGGUUAAUCAUCUGGGGUUCUCCCCAGUGCACUUUUCCAGUCCAGGCCAGCAUCAGUUUUCCCCGGGGGAUAAAGGCGGCGGGAAUGUGGCUCUCUUCGGGGAGUGUUAUAGCCCACCGUGUAAUACCCUGGGGGGGACUGAGGUUCGCGCAUCUGCAAGGAUGCUGGCGUAAUGGUCAUCAACGACCCGUCUUGAAACACGGACCAAGGAGUCGUCUUCGUAUGCGAGUGUUCGGGUGUCAAACCCCUACGCGUAAUGAAAGUGAACGCAGGUGAGAGCUUCGGCGCAUCAUCGACCGAUCCUGAUGUUCUCGGAUGGAUUUGAGUAAGAGCAUACGGGGCCGGACCCGAAAGAAGGUGAACUAUGCCUGUAUAGGGUGAAGCCAGAGGAAACUCUGGUGGAGGCUCGCAGCGGUUCUGACGUGCAAAUCGAUCGUCAAAUAUGGGCAUGGGGGCGAAAGACUAAUCGAACCUUCUAGUAGCUGGUUUCCGCCGAAGUUUCCCUCAGGAUAGCAGUGUUGAACUCAGUUUUAUGAGGUAAAGCGAAUGAUUAGGGACUCGGGGGCGCUAUUUAGCCUUCAUCCAUUCUCAAACUUUAAAUAUGUAAGAAGCUCUUGUUGCUUAAUUGAACGUGAGCAUUCGAAUGUAUCAACACUAGUGGGCCAUUUUUGGUAAGCAGAACUGGCGAUGCGGGAUGAACCGAACGCGAGGUUAAGGUGCCAGAGUAGACGCUCAUCAGACACCACAAAAGGUGUUAGUACAUCUUGACAGCAGGACGGUGGCCAUGGAAGUCGGAAUCCGCUAAGGACUGUGUAACAACUCACCUGCCGAAUGUACUAGCCCUGAAAAUGGAUGGCGCUCAAGCGUCUCACCCAUACCUCGCCCUCAGGGUAGAAACGAUGCCCUGAGGAGUAGGCGGACGUGGAGGUCAGUGACGAAGCCUAGGGCGUGAGCCCGGGUUGAACGGCCUCUAGUGCAGAUCUUGGUGGUAGUAGCAAAUACUUCAAUGAGAACUUGAAGGACCGAAGUGGGGAAAGGUUCCAUGUGAACAGCGGUUGGACAUGGGUUAGUCGAUCCUAAGCCAUAGGGAAGUUCCGUUUCAAAGGUGCACUUUGCACCGUCUGGCGAAAGGGAAGCCGGUCAAUAUUCCGGCACCUGGAUGUGGGUUUUGCGCGGCAACGCAACUGAACGUGGAGACGACGGCGGGGGCCCCGGGCAGAGUUCUCUUUUCUCUCACCCUGAAAUCGGUUUG